RNAcentral lists this long non-coding RNA (14821 nucleotides) under Triticum aestivum (bread wheat). Its description in RNAcentral is "long non-coding RNA (TAES_LNC001399)". The record is from RNAcentral. Lineage: Eukaryota; Viridiplantae; Streptophyta; Magnoliopsida; Poales; Poaceae.
UUGGUCUGCUGGGUGUAGUUAUAAUCCGCUUGGUGUUCUUGAGUGCUAGUGUAGUCGUGAUGCACAGUUGACCUUCAUCUCCACUGAAGCUGAGACAAUUUUGGAAGCACCAAUGGAUGAAAUGUUUUGGGAGCAGUCAGGUCUCAGUUCCCUUUACUUUGUCAAAGCAGGCAGAGUGAAGGCAGAUGAAACUAGAACCAGAUGUUACCACGCUUCAUUUGGAAGCGAGAGUGUACAUAGCUGAGCGAGUAGUAUACUGUUAGUGCAGGGAUUGGCUGGGUUUAUACAGAAAAAGGCCUCCGUGAAUGACCAAAUAAAGGCUGGUUUCUUCUCUCUUUUUUACCCUUCUGAGGGUUGCAUAUACUAGUUGUGUAAUUGAAUGUGCAGCUACAGUUUUUACCUGGAAUCUCAGUGUCCCAAAAUGUUGACCCUAUUUGGAUACUCGGUGUCAUGAAUCUCCUUUCUUACCCUAUGGUAUUGAUUCUCUAAGAGGAUAACCAGGUCGCAUAAGUGCACUCCUGAAGAAUUCUUAUUUUUUAGCCGAUAGGAUGGUACUCCAUCCCAAAAUAAGUGUCUUAAUUUUUAUAACUUUAAUACAAAGUUAUACUCCCUCCGUUUUAAAAUAGGGAAAUACUUACCGUCAACUGAUAGAUAACUGGGACUUCUUCCGCCACCUCAUUUGCGUGACUUGUGUCCAGUGGAGAUCCAUCAUUGCUGUCACUAUCCCAAUAGAGACGGUGAAUUUUUCCUCCACGAGUCUUCUCCCUAGAAAUCUCCAUUGCUUUCUCGUCAACACCAAUCGCUGCAUGAUAGUUGUUGCCAAAAGUCACCACUGCUGAUGCCCUUGCCGGCAGCCGCCCACCUCACUGGAGAGGAGGAUGGGGGUGUGGUUGCUGCCGUUGCCACCGACUUCCAUCAUGACCGUCGGCCGCACGCGGUGCACCCACCUCGCUGGGAAGGAGGAUAACGGCGAGCCAACCUGGUCGGAGGUCCAGCGUCGCUCCUUUCCCGCCCCUGUUCGACGGGAGUCCACGGCGAACGGCGGACCGUGAUUUAUUUCUUGCAACAUCUUUCAUGUUGCAAGAAAGAUUCUUGUAACAUCAAUGAUGUUGCAAAAUUUUCUUUCGAAACACCUAUAUAAAAGUGAAGACAAAAAUAUUUCUGUAACUUUAAAUUUGUUGCAAAAAUUUGUACAGACGUUUCUGCAGCAUGGUCUUUGUUGCAAAAAAAUUUAUGCAGCAUCAUGUCUGUUGAAAGGUUUCUGCAACACGAUUUAUGUUACAAAUGUUUCUGCAACACCGCUCUUGUUGCAAAGGAGAUGACGCACGUGGAUGGGUAGAUCUCACGGUCAUCCCGCACGCAUCCAAUGGCCAGCCAGGCGGCGGAUGUUUUCAACUUAUCCAUCGGCUGACGCGUAGCAUGGCCCUUUAAAAUAAGUUACUUUAGUACAAAGUUGAGUUAUUUAUUUUGGGACUGAGGAAGUACUAAUAAACUUGAGACAUUUAUUUUAAGGCACAGGGGAGUACGUACUACAUACUCCCAAAGACCUUAAAUAAGUGUGCAUAUACAAUUUUUUUUAUAACAGAUUAAGGAGUGGAGUAGAAAAUUCAUUGGAAAGAUGCAAACAAACCAUCCCUCUUCUCUUUAGUUACCCUACUUCCAAUGAGCUAAGUGCACCUAAAAAAUAAGAAGAGCAUAUGUUGAAUGUUAUUGAUAAUGACCUAAGUGCUUGUAAAAAAAAUAAGAAGACCAUAUGUUGAAUGUUAUUGGUCUCGAUUCUCGUGUGAUGAGAGAGAAAUAUAUUUUUCUACUUUAAAAUGCACUAGAAGGAUAAAAAUACACUUUUUCUAGAUAAAAUUUGAAUGCUAAACGAACCCUUAUUUGAGGACAAAGGGAGUAAACAAUACAAUCUGCCUCGGAAGAUGUAACUGAGAAAGCAAGAAACCAACGCGAUAACCAACCGGAUCCAGAUUGGUUGUCAGGACCCCGACUCGAUGUCACAUCGAUCUAGCUGGUAACACCUCAUAUCACUUUGCGGCCUCACGCACGGUAUUCCCACGGGUGUCGUCUUACCUUUUCCCGGGACCGUUUGCGCCUUUUGGCUCACGUAUAUGAUAGUGUCGCUAGCAUCCAUAUGAUAAAGAGCCCGGGCUGACAUGACUAGUCGUAAACCCAAAGUGGCACAGACUUACAGGGACAGGCAUCCAUGACCCAGCUUCGAACGUGUCGGUCAUCAGCAAGUGGGUCCGGGCUGUAGCACUGGGCUAGCAGGACUCCGGUAAACCGGGCUGUAGCGGGCUAACAGGACUCCGGUACUCAAAGCGUGACAUUUCCCCGAAGGGACAGACACAGGAACGAAGAAGGACACAUGCCGGCCAGCCUAAGUGUUCCAGAGCAGUAGCAAGCUACCAUGGCUCAGCGGUAACACUAGGAGACAUUUCCCGGUAAGAGAGGCUACUAAAGAUAAACAACUAGAUAGUCAGAUCCCACACAUACCAAGCAUUUCAAUAACAUGCACACAAUAUGCUCGAUAUGUGCAAUCCAACAUGGCAUCACAAAAUGACUCUACGACUCAAGUAUUUUAUUCAAUAGGCUCCGAGGAGCGCGAUAUUACAAACAUGGGUCUCAUGACCCAACACUCAGAGCAUACAAAUCAAAGCACAAGCGGAAGCUAUCAUGUCUGAGUACAGACAUCUAUAAAUGAAAAAGGCUGAGAAGCCUGACUAUCUAUCAGAUCCUGCCGGGGCACAAGAUCGUAGCUGAGGUAUCAAGCUAAACGUCGAAGUCCACGUGAAACUACUAGCGAGACCGAAGUCUCUCUGCAAAAACAUAAAAUAGGCAAACGUGAGUACAAAUGUACCCAGCAAGACUUACAUCAGAACUAUCUACAUAUGCAUCAUUAUCAACAAAGGGGUGGUGGGGUUUAACUGCAGCAAGCCAGCUUUGACUCGGUGGCUAUCCUAAACUACGACUGCAAUGUAACUCUUUUGAGGUGGCGCACACGAGUCCACAUAUUCACCAUAUCAAUACACCACUAUGGAUCCGCUCCCGUCUCCCUACGAGAACGCCAUCCAUAGCACUCACGCUUAUCUUGCGCAUUUUAAAGUAUCCACUUUCACUUGUCUAUGAACUGAUAUAAGCAACCCAGAAGUCCUUUUCCGCGGACACGGCUAUUCGAAUAGAUGAUAUUAACCCUGCAGGGGUGUACUUCUUCAUACAUGUUUCCACCACUUAGCGUCUGCACACGACAUGUGCUCGGCAGACUUCAAGCGAAAGCCGACGUGGGUGUAGACCACGACCUACCUAAACACCUAAGUCUCUAGUCCAGGUUUAUCGCCUAUUCGGGUUCCAUCCAUGAGGAGAUCCGGCCGGAGUUUCGCUCACAGCCCCAAACGAUGUGAACAGGGUUCCGUGACACCAAACGGGUGCCCGGUAUACCCGGCCACGUGCCUACCGCAUCACAGCCCACCCCUACGGUCAGCGCUGUCCACGGCCUCCAGCAUACUACAAACACCAGAAACUACUUGCAACUCCUGGACAGAGGACAAGGGUGAAUAAGAAGUCGAGCGGGGUCAUAUUUCAGGGCCCAAUGUAUGGUAGUAGCUGAAUCAUGGAUCACAAACACAGAACUCAGUUCCUGAGGACGGCUACAAUGAGACAACCCACCAUGUACUCCUACAUGGCCUCUCACCGCUACCUUUACCAAAUCGUGUUCACACACUUAGCUCACACACAGUAGGACAUGUUCACACACCUCUGAUUCAUCCCCGAUGAAUCAGACCUGACUCGACUCUAAGCAAUAGCAGGCAUGACAAACAAGCAUGAAUGAGUAGGCACAACAGGGCUCAAACAACUCCUACUCAUGCUAGUGGGUUUCAUCUAUUUACUGUGGCAAUGACAGGUCAUGCAGAGGAUAAAGGGGUUCAACUACCGCAGCAUGUAACAGAUGAUUCGGUGUUGUCCUAAUGCAGUAAAAAGAGAGCAGGAGCGAGAGAGUGGGAUUUUAUCGGAAUGAACAAGGGGGUUUUGCUUGCCUGGCACUUCUGAAGAUAACAUUGAGUCUUCGUCAGUGUCAACGAUCGCAUCAUCGGUGUCACGUCUAUCGAGAGGGGACAAUUACCGGCAAAUACAGAAAAGACACGAUCAAUGCAAUGCACAAUAUGAUGCAUGCUAUGACAUGGCAAUAUGAAUGUGUUUUGGGCUAAUGCACCUAAAACCAGAUUAAAUGAAGUUGGUUUGAAUCCAAAAUUCAAAUUCAAACUCCAUAUGGGGUUAUUUAAAUGUCAUUCACUUCAUUUGUCCUAAACAGUAGUGAUAAGUUGUUCUAACAUGCAUGAAAAUGGUACAGAUGGAUUCCUUGAAUUUUUCUGAUAAUUUUUCAUAUAUAAUUUAUUUAAUUUGGAGUUACGGUUAAUUUUCUAUGAUUUUUAGAAGUUUUAGGCAUUUUCUGGAAUUUCCUGAAUAUUUAGAAUUAAAAUAAUUCCAGAAAAUGAAUUAUGGCGUCAGCAUGACCUCAUGCUGACCUCAGCAGGUCAACGGGCGGUCCAGGUCAAACCUGACGUGUGGGGUCCACACGUCAGUGACACAGGGGCUAAUCCCGCGUUGACCCGGGCUUUGACCCACUACGGGGCCCACUGUCAGUGGCUGUGGGGGGGUGUUUAGAGCGUCAUUAGUGCUAAUUAGGCGUGCCACGUCGGCAGUCGCCGGAGUGUCGCCGGCGACGACCACGGCCGACAGCGGAGGUGCGCCGUGCGCUCGCUACGGAGCACCAUUUGACGUGCGGUUUGCUCCUACGGGUUCCUGGGAGGAAGGCGCAUCUAAAGAGGUAAGUGACAGCAGCUGGGGUGGCCGGAGCUGCCGGCGGCGAGCUCCUUUGCGGCUGCCGGAGUUCGGGCAAUCUCGGGGUCGGGGUUAGGAAGCACGGCAGGAGGAGCUGGGGCGUGCUACGGACUCCUGAGAUCACGAUGAGCACGUCAGUGGGCUCGGAUACGAGCUGGGGUGGAAGAAUGGACUGACUCAGAUCAGAAUGUCAUAAGGUAUAAGGAGUAAAAAAAGAGCCUUACGUUCCAACCCACAAACAAUUCCCCUACAUAUAACUAAAGAAUUUCUAGACUCAACAUCGACCAGUUUGGCUUGGAGAACCUACAGGCAGUCCGGCUCUGAUGCCAACGCUGUCAGGACCCCGACUCGAUGUCACAUCGAUCUAGCUGGUAACACCUCAUAUCACUUUGCGGCCUCACGCACGGUAUCCCCACGGGUGUCGUCUUACCUUUUCCCGGGACCGUUUGCGCCUUUUGGCUCACGUAUAUGAUAGUGUCGCUAGCAUCCAUAUGAUAAAGAGCCCGGGCUGACAUGACUAGUCGUAAACCCAAAGUGGCACAGACUUACAGGGACAGGCAUCCAUGACCCAGCUUCGAACGUGUCGGUCAUCAGCAAGUGGGUCCGGGCUGUAGCACUGGGCUAGCAGGAAUCCGGUAAACCGGGCUGUAGCGGGCUAACAGGACUCCGGUACUCAAAGCGUGACAUUUCCCCGAAGGGACAGACACAGGAACGAAGAAGGACACAUGCCGGCCAGCCUAAGUGUUCCAGAGCAGUAGCAAGCUACCAUGGCUCAGCGGUAACACUAGGAGACAUUUCCCGGUAAGAGAGGCUACUAAAGAUAAACAACUAGAUAGUCAGAUCCCACACAUACCAAGCAUUUCAAUCAUACACACAAUAUGCUCGAUAUGUGCAAAUACAACGAAGCAUCACAACAUGACUCUAUGACACAGGUAUUUUAUUUAAGGCUCAGGGAGCCAUACAUAACAUACACAAAGGUACGGGUCUCACGACCCCACAUACAAGUCAUACAGUCAUACAAACCAGCAGCGGAAGUAACUUGUCUGAGUACAGACAACUAGUAAAAUAAAAGAGGCUUGGAAAGCCUAACUAUACUACGUGGUCCUCCACAAGCUCAGGGUCACCACCUGGGUCUUUAGCCUACUCGUUGAUGUCAACGUCUACAUAGAACCCAUCAGAAGGGGUUGCAGCGUCUUCUGUAAAAAUGUAGAUUAUAGCAACAUGAGUACAAAGGUACUCAGCAAGACUUACAUCAGAUCCUACAUACAUGCAUAGUUCAAGAAGGGUUGGUGGAGUUAUUGCAGCAAGCCAGCUUUGACUCUUGGCUAGGCUAUCCUACGAUACUUCAAUUGAAAUGGUUUUGCGCACACGAGUCCACUACUCACCACUUCAAUACACUACCGAGGAUCCACCUCCGUCUUCCUACGGAAGAGCCAUCCUCGGCACUCACACUUAUCUUGAGGCUUUUAACGGUUUCCAUUUACUUGUCUAUGAACUGUAUAGGCAACCAAGUAGUCCUUUACCGCGGACGCGGCUAUUCGAAUAGAUCAUGUUAACCCUGCAGGGGUGUACUUCUUCAUACACGCUCUCACCACUUACCGUCGUUUACACGACAUGUACUCGGCAACCUUCAAGCGGAAGCCCAACGUGGGUGUCGGCCACGACCUACCUAAUCACCUAAGCCUCCGGUCCAGGUUUAUCGCCUAUUCAGGUUCCAUCCGCAGGGAGUCCGGCCGAGGUUUCCCAUACGGCCCCGAACGAUGUGAACAGGGUUCCCGAGAUACCUAACGGGUAUUCGGUACACCGUGCCACGUACCUACCGCAUCACAGCCCACCCCUACGGUCAGCGCUGUCCACGGCCUCCAGUAGGCUACAAACACCAGAAACUACUUGCAACUCCUGGACGGAGAACUAGGGUGAAUAAGAAGCCGAGAGGGUCCAUUGGUUUCGGGCCCAAUGCAUGGUAGUAGCUGAUUCUUAAAUCACACAUACAGAUCUCAGUGCUUAAGGUCGGCCUCAAUGAGACAACCCACCAUGUACUCCUACAUGGCCUCUCAUCGAUACCUUUACCAAAUCGUGUUCACCACACCACUCUCAUUACCGACAUUAACAUUUCACUCUAGCCCAUCACCCAGAUGAACCAGACCUGACACGACUCUAAGCAUAGCAGGCAUAGCAAGGUAGGAACAACACAUACACAUGGCUCAAUCAACUCCUACACAUGCUAGUGGGUUUCAUCUAGUUACUGUGGCAAUGACAGGUCAUGCAGAGGAAAUGGGUUCAACUACCGUAGCACACAGCAGUUUGAAUCGCGUUGUCUUAAUGCAGUAAAAGAGAGCAGGAGCGAGAACAUGGGAUUGUAUCGAUAUGAUCAAAUGGUUGGUUGCUUGCCUGAUGGUUCGUUGCACUGAUACGGUUCUUCGUUAGGGUAGUCACGGUACUCCUCGGGGACAGAUCCUGCCGCAAAGAACACCGAUAUACAACCAUCACCAAACAAUGUGCAACAAUAUGAUGCAUGCAUGAAACAUGGCAAUAUGAGUGUGUUGGGCUAAUGCAACUAGAACCAGAAGGGUUUGAACAGAUUUGAAUCAAAGAUUCAAAUUUCAAACUCAAACAUGGCCUUUUAAAGUGCUUUUCCUUGUUCUGAUUAAAACAUCAAUUUAACUUGUUUGAUCAUGCAUGAAAAUAGUACAGAUGGAUAGAUUGGAUUUUUCUGAUCAUUUUUCAUAUAUAAUUUGUCCAAUUUGGAGUUACAGAAUAAAAGUUAUGAAUUUUUGAAGUUUAAAUAAUAUUCUGGAAUUUCCUGAUUUAAUUUAAAUCCAGAAAUAUAAUUAUUGCGCCAGCAUGACGUCAGCAUGACGUCAGUGGUCAACUGCGGCUGGCUGAGGUCAAACCUGACGUGUGGGGGCCACACGUCAGUGACAGGGGGGUUAAACAGGUUUAAAUUAAUCCUAAUUAGGGAUUAGUGGCGCUGGGGCCCACUGUCAGUGUCAGGGGGGUUGACUAACAGUAGUUAGCGCUAAUCUAACCACCUAGCCGACAGGGCCCACGCGUCAGUGACCCUGGGGGGUCAAAUCCCAGGUCGGACAAGUCAAACCCCACCGGCGACAUGACGCCGGCGAGGUCCGAGACGGCGGCGAAAGUGCUUUUUGCCAUUCCGGCAACCAAAUGGACGGCGGAAGGCAUCUACGUGUUGCUGAGGUUGAGCCGCGACUAUUGGUGGUGGUGGUUGGGCUCGGGGUGGCCGGAGUCAACGGCGGCGAGCUCGGCUGCGGCGGCCGGAGUUCGGGUGCGGUCGGAAUCGGCGUUGCAGGGCGUUAGGGGAGGUGUUGGUGCGUGCUACGUGCUCCUAGUGAGGUGUGGAGCACGAUGGUGUGCUCGGUUGGGCGCUGCGGCGACCGUGGCCACGACGGCGACAUCGCCGGCGGCGUGGAGCUCUCGGCCAAGGUGGGGCUAAGGCCUAGAGGUCGGGAGAGACCAGGGGAGAAGGGGGAAACGACCCGGGGGCUCACCGCGGUUGCAGUGGGCGUCGAAGCGGGCUCGGGGACGCGCUGGAGGCGACGAAUUCGACGGCGACGAUGGUCGGAGCCAGAAGAGGGGAACGGCGACGUGGCGGCGAUGCAGGGCUUCCGGGGAGCUGUGGAGCGGUGGGGAGGAAGAAGGAGUCGAGGCGGAGCUCCUGAGCUAGUCGGGGAAGCGAGGGGUGGUCGGAGACGGCGGCUAUGGCGAACGGCGGCGACGGUGGUGUUCGGCCGUGAGAGAGAGAGAGGGAGCAGCACGGGAGAGAGAGAGGGGAUAAGGCCAGGGGAUCGGGGCGGCACCGAGAAGAAGCACCGCGGCGUCGCGCUGGCGGGGGAGGCAGGCAGACGAGCUGGUGGCGUGGCGCUCCGGCCGUGCGCGCACGCUGGCCACACGCCUGGCCUACUGGCGCCAGGAGGACGACGGCGGUGGUGGGCUGGGCUGGCUUGCUGGGCCGGCCAGCUGGCUGGGCCGCACAGGGAGGAGCCCAGGUAAGCUCCUCCUGUUAUUUCUUUUUCUGUUUUUUUAAUUUCUGACAUUUGUUUUGAUUUAAAUAAUAUAUUAAAUCAUUUAUUUAACUUAUGCCAAUUUUUGCAGGAGCCAUAUAUAUUAUUCCAAAGCUCUUUUAUAAAUGGCAUAAUAUUUGGGCACAUAUUAAUAUAUAUAAUUAAUAUAUUUCCAAUGCAAAUACUUAUGCAUUAAUUCCAAAUGCCCAAAAUAAAUGUCCAUGAGCCACUAAAAAUAUUGGUUUGAUUUUUAUCUCUGUACAAUAUUUUCAGAGAGCAACAUGAGCAUUUUCUUGGAUCCUUUUGGAGAAAUUUUAUUUGGGUCAUUUUCAAAAUGAUUCUGAGGGUUUCACAGAUCCCCAUUUCAAGUUUCUGAUGAAAGAGUAAACAUGAUGCAACACUCUAAUGCAUGGCUAACUAGGGUGUGACAACUCACCCCCACUCAAAAGAAUCUCGUCCCGAGAUUUGGGUUCCUCCGGGAAGAAAGCGGGAUACUCAAGUCGAAGACGAUCCUCCCUUUCCCAAGUUGCUUCAUCCUCAGAAUGGUGCGACCAUUGAACCUUGAGAAACUUGAUAUUAUGACGUCGCGUGGUACGUUCGGCUUGAUCGAGGAUACGAACGGGGUACUCUCGAUAUGUAAGAUCAUCUUGGAGAUCAAGCGUUUCGUGGUCCACUUCACGGAUAGGAUCCGAGAAGCAACGCCUGAGUUGAGAAACGUGGAAGACAUCGUGAACUCUGGAGAGGUGCGGAGGUAGUUCCAAUUGGUAGGCAACUUCUCCGCGUUUGGCGAGAAUGCGAAAAGGUCCAAUGUAACGAGGAGCCAAUUUGCCUUUGAUACCGAAACGAUGGGUUCCCUUCAGAGGGGUAACCCGAAGAUAAGCCUUCUCGUCAACCUCGAAAGUCAUAGCCUUAUGUUUUCGGUCAUAUUGACUCUUUUGACGAGAUUGGGCUGUUUUCAACUUUUCACGAACGAUACGAACUUGUUCUUCUGCUUCCUGAAUCAUAUCCGGGCCAAAGAAUUGUCUUUCCCCGGUCUCGGACCAGUUAAGGGGUGUUCGACAUCGUCGUCCAUAGAGAACUUCAAAAGGGGCUUUACCCAAGCUAGAUUGAUAGCUGUUGUUGUAGGCGAAUUCGGCAAAUGGAAGGCACUUCUCCCAGUCCAUUCCGAAAGAGAUAACGGAGGCUCGAAGCAUGUCUUCUAGAAUUUGGUUGACGCGUUCCACUUGACCACUCGACUGAGGGUGGAAAGCGGUGCUAAAGGAGAGACGAGUUCCCAUAGCAUUUUGGAAACUUUCCCAAAAUCGAGAGGUGAAAAGACUUCCUCGAUCCGAGUUAAUUUCCAAAGGAACACCAUGGAGUGACACUAUUCGGGAGAUGUACAAAUCUGCCAGCUGACUAGCGGUUAUACUCUCACGAACAGGUAAGAAAUGAGCUACUUUGGAAAGACGAUCGACCACGACGAAAAUAGCAUUAUUCCCUCUCUUGGUCCUGGGAAAACCGGUAAUGAAAUCCAUACCAAUUUUAUCCCAUUUCCAUUCAGGAAUAGCUAAGGGUUGAAGGGUGCCAGCAGGCCGUUGAUGCUCUGCUUUUACACGACGACAGACGUCGCAAUUAGCAAUAUACUGAGCAAUUUCUCUUUUCAUCCUAGUCCACCAGAACCUCUGGCGUAGGUCCUGAUACAUUUUAGUACUACCGGGAUGAAUGGUGAGAGGAGAUUCAUGAGCUUCCUUAAGGAUCAAACGCCUCAGGUUUCGCACUUUGGGAACCACUAGUCGAUUCCCGAAGUAUACGACCCCUUGAUCAUUAAUGGAGAAGCAAUUCGCAAUUCCUUUCUGAAUGUUUCUCUUGAUGCGGGAGAUUCCCGGAUCUACCUUCUGUGCUUUGAUAAUUUGAUCCGUAAGGGUAGGUUUUGCCACCAAGGUGGAAAGAAAACCUUGAGGUACAAUGUGAAGGUUAAGCUUCCGAAAUUCCUCAUGGAAGAGCGGUUGACUUUGUUGUAACAUCAGGUUGUUACAAUAAGAUUUACGACUUAGCGCAUCAGCCAUGACGUUGGCUUUCCCUGGAGUGUAGGUUAUUCCUAAGUCGAAGUCUGUGAUCAAUUCAACCCAACGUCUCUGCCUGAGAUUUAAAUCCGGUUGGGUGAAAAUGUACUUCAGACUUUGGUGAUCAGUGAAUAUUUCGCAACGAUUACCAAGGAGGUAAUGUCGCCAGGUCUUAAGUGCAUAGACUACGGCUGCAAGCUCUAGAUCAUGAGUAGGAUAAUUCUCCUCAUGUGGGUGCAAUUGCCGUGAAGCGUAAGCAAUUACGUGUCGAUCUUGCAUAAGAAUGCAACCUAGUCCUUGUCACGAGGCGUCGCAGUAGAUAACGAAGUCCUUGGAGAAGUCUGGCGGUACCAGUACGGGAGCAGAGGUCAGGCGUCUUUUCAGUUCCUGAAAGCUGUGCUCACAUUGUGGAGUCCAUUCGAACUUCUUAUCUUUCUUGAGGAGUUCGGUUAGAGGUUUAGCAACUUUGGAGAAGUUCUCGACAAAGCGACGGCAAUAGCUCGCUAAGCCUAGAAAACUCCGAACUUGCUUGACCGAUUCAGGUGGAGUCCAAUCAAGGACGGCUUGAACUCGCUCAGGGUUAACGGCAAUACCUUUACCAGAUAUUACAUGACCCAGAUAGGUCACUUCUGACAACCAGAAUUCACAUUUCGAAAAUUUGGCAUAAAGGCGAUGCUCUCGAAGUUUCUUCAACACUAGCCUUAAAUGUUCGGCAUGUUCUUCCUCGUUCUUGGAGUAGAUGAGUAUGUCAUCGAGAUAAACUACGACGAAUUUAUCCAAAUACUCCAUGAAGAUUGAGUUCAUUAACCGAGAAAAGGUGGCUGGAGCGUUGGUUAAACCAAAAGACAUGACGGUGUACUCGUAUUGGCCAUAACGAGUAACAAAGGCCGUUUUAGGAAUGUCCCCGUUUCUGAUUUUGAUUUGAUGGUAGCCCAACCUCAAAUCCAUCUUGGAGAAGACUGAGGAUCCAGCGAGCUGAUCAUACAGAUCGUUGAUCCUGGGAAGUGGAUAUUUGUUCUUGAUUGUGACCAAAUUGACAGGUCGGUAAUCUACAACCAUCCGGUCCGUACCAUCCUUCUUCUUGACGAAUAGGACGGGGCAAGCCCACGGAGAUGAACUAGGGCGGAUGAAACCCUUUUUCAAGGACUCAUCGAGUUGUUUCUUAAGCUCGGCUAGUUCUAAGGGUGCCAUCUUAUAAGGUCUUCUAGCAAUCGGAACGGUUCCGGGGAUGAGGUCGAUUACGAACUCAACAUCCCUGUCAGGUGGAACACCUGGCAAUUCCUCUGGAAAGACAUCAGGGAAGUCACAGACUACCGGCACAUCCUCAAGGUCUGGCAAAGGGCUGGCAUUAAGAGAAUAUAAUUGUCGCUUGGCUAUUCGGGUCAAGACAUUGACUAUCUUCCCCGAAGGAUGGGUGAGUUGAACAGUCCUAGAGAAGCAAUCAAUUUUGGCUUGAUGAGCUGACAUCCAGUCCAUACCCAAAAUGAUAUUAAUAUCUGAAGAUUUAAGGGCUAUCAAAGAUGCGAGGAAAACAAGUCUGUCGACUUGGAUUUCAUUUCCAUGGCUUACUCUAGAGGUUUGCCAUUUGGAUCCCGGAGUUUGAAUUACCAUAGAGGUUGGCAUAUCACCGAAUGCGACGUUAUGCAAACGAGCAUAAUUUUCGGAUAUAAAAGAAUGAGAGGCUCCUGUAUCGAAAAGAACAGAUGCCGGGUGGCAGUUAACAAGAAGCGUACCGAGGACGACGUUGGGAUCCUCUUGAGCUUCUUCGGCAGAGAUACAGUUGACAUGGCCACGUGAAGCGGUGACCGGCUUGGCGUGGAACACUUUCCCUGUCGGCUUGCCACGGCCAACAGCUUUAGCAGACUGGUUGGGGUUGGUCUGGGGACACUCACGCAUAUAGUGACCAGAUUCCCCACAUUUGAAACAAGUCACGGAACUGGUACAUGGAGGAGCAUUAUUGGUUGGACCCCCAUAGGGCUUGGCUGGAGCAGACUGUUGAACGGGGCGAGGCGCCUGGAAAGAUGGCCUCGGUGUGAAUCUGGGUGGCAGGGCGGUGUUGGGCACCCACACGCGGCGCUUCUGAGGACCAGCACCGGAUGAGGAACCCAUGUCACGCCCAUGCUUGCGUGUUGCGUCAUAGUCAGUCUGACCAGUUUCAGCACUGAUGGCUUUGUUGACAAGUUUCGGAAAAGAUGUGCACUCAUGCAGACGAAGGUCGUGGCGAAGCUCAGGACUAAGGCCCUUACGGAACCUUGCUUGCUUCUUGGCGUCAGUAGAAACUUCCUCAGUUGCAUAUCGGGCGAGCUUACCAAACUCCCUGCUAUAGGCAUCCACAGAAAGUCGGCCUUGGGUGAAAUUGCAAAAUUCUUCACGUUUACGGUCCAUGAGACCCUCCGGAAUGUGAUGUUCACGGAAAGCCUCGCUGAAUUCAGCCCAAGUAGUGACAUGGCCCGCUGGGCGCAUAGCUCCAUAAUUCUCCCACCAUAGACUGGCGGGGCCUUCAAGAUGAUAUGCAGCAAAGGUGACCUUGUCAGCCUCCGCUACCAGCGCGGAACACAGUUUGUGGGAGAUACUGCGAAGCCAGUCAUCAGCGUCGAGAGGCUCGACGGAGUGGUGGAACGUGGGUGGAUGCAAUUUGAUAAAAUCACUGAGUGACACCACGUUAGCCCUCUGAUGGUGUGUUGUAUUCUGUUCAAUACGCUCCAACAAACGGUUUGUCUCCCGCUUGUUUCUCUCAGCUUCCAUCAUAACCUCGGCUAGUGAAGGAGGAUGAGGCAGAUUUUCAUUCCUGGCUUCACUGCCUUCGGCCUGCUCUUGGGAAGCAGGGUUAGCGCGCGUGUUGACCAUCCUAGGUAAACAAGACAAUGAUUUAGUCAGGAUGGUAAAAUUCCGACAUAGGAUACAUAAUGUAAGGAAUAACUCGGAAUGCAAGAUGAUCAUCCGUAUGACAUGGUAGAUACAGAAACUGCUUCUUUAUUCCAUCGUCAUACACACCAUACAGGGUUUAGUACAAGACCAAACAAAGUACUAUUACGGUGAAAAAGGAUUACAUCUCAUCGGAGGCAUACCAAGCUCCUAUACAUUAUUUUUCUACACCUCCGGAAGGAGUACAAACUAGGUCAUAUCCCACGAGUCACGCAGGACGAUAGACGACACAGCUAGUGCGAACUAGUGAUACUACCACUAACUCAGACCGAUCCGUAGUAGUCCUCGUAAAAGUCACCUCCAUAGCCUGGAAGUUCCACAUGAUCAUCCGGAAACAGACGGUCUCGCGGAGCUUGUGGACCAUAGGUGAGCGCAUGCUCCAGUGUUGAGAUGAUUCUUGGUGUUCUUGGUUGGUCUGCUGGGUGUAGUUAUAAUCCGCUUGGUGUUCUUGAGUGCUAGUGUAGUCGUGAUGCACAGUUGACCUUCAUCUCCACUGAAGCUGAGACAAUUUUGGAAGCACCAAUGGAUGAAAUGUUUUGGGAGCAGUCAGGUCUCAGUUCCCUUUACUUUGUCAAAGCAGGCAGAGUGAAGGCAGAUGAAACUAGAACCAGAUGUUACCACGCUUCAUUUGGAAGCGAGAGUGUACAUAGCUGAGCGAGUAGUAUACUGUUAGUGCAGGGAUUGGCUGGGUUUAUACAGAAAAAGGCCUCCGUGAAUGACCAAAUAAAGGCUGGUUUCUUCUCUCUUUUUUACCCUUCUGAGGGUUGCAUAUACUAGUUGUGUAAUUGAAUGUGCAGCUACAGUUUUUACCUGGAAUCUCAGUGUCCCAAAAUGUUGACCCUAUUUGGAUACUCGGUGUCAUGAAUCUCCUUUCUUACCCUAUGGUAUUGAUUCUCUAAGAGGAUAACCAGGUCGCAUAAGUGCACUCCUGAAGAAUUCUUAUUUUUUAGCCGAUAGGAUGGUACUCCAUCCCAAAAUAAGUGUCUUAAU